This is a long non-coding RNA of Nicotiana tabacum (common tobacco), 677 nucleotides long. RefSeq lists it as uncharacterized. Lineage: Eukaryota; Viridiplantae; Streptophyta; Magnoliopsida; Solanales; Solanaceae. The record is from RefSeq and is a predicted model, not a curated record.
CCGAACUCCCCCCAUCUCCUCCUACAACCGCCGCCACACCCGGCGACCACCCUCCUCAGCCGCCUCUGCUAUUUCCCACCAGCCGUUGUUCGCCAAAAACCAGCAGUAGCAGCUCGCCGGAAUCCAAACACUACCCUUCAACUCCACCCAUCUCCAUCUCUCCACAGUCGCACACACCAGACCAGAAACGAAGCAUCUGGAAUACUCUAAGGGACGGUCAUAGAGAGUAAAGAAUGGAGUCCUUUCAUCUCCAAGUGACAGUAGCUUAUAAAAUUAGCUAUUUAUAUUGACGUUAUAGCUUAUUCUUCUUCUUCUUCUGAUUUUCAAUUUUGAAACCAUGGAGUCCGAUGGAGUUUGAUUAAGGCCAUUUUGGUUUUGAGCUUUCCGAUGACGAUUCGAGUUCCGUCCGUGGUUCGUUACAUUUUUGAGUUUAAAGUAGUGCAACAAUCAAUUUUUAUCUAUAUAAAGGUAUGGAUCCAUUUGUCAAAGCUUUAGCAUGAUGGACGCCUCAGGACCGUCUAGUCACGACCGUUGCAUACAUGAGCUGCUUGUGGAUACUUUUAUGUUUUGAAUCUAUCAUUCAUGUUGUCUUUUACUUUCUAGUCUUGUACAGUAGUGUCGAGUGUUUUAGGUGAUGUCAAAGUUUGUUGUAGUCAAGUUGAGUUUGUUGAGUUUUU